Molecule: ribosomal RNA, 252 nt
Filed under: uncultured bacterium
Lineage: Bacteria
Description: partial 16S ribosomal RNA
Rfam family: Bacterial small subunit ribosomal RNA
Source: RNAcentral
UACGUAGGGGGCAAGCGUUGUCCGGAAUUAUUGGGCGUAAAGCGCGCGCAGGCGGUCAUGUAAGUCUGGUGUUUAAGCCCGGGGCUCAACCCCGGAUUGCACGGGAAACUGGAUGACUUGAGUGCAGAAGAGGAGAGUGGAAUUCCACGUGUAGCGGUGAAAUGCGUAGAGAUGUGGAGGAACACCAGUGGCGAAGGCGACUCUCUGGGCUGUAACUGACGCUGAGGCGCGAAAGCGUGGGGAGCAAACAGG